Molecule: ribosomal RNA, 253 nt
Filed under: uncultured bacterium
Lineage: Bacteria
Description: partial 16S ribosomal RNA
Rfam family: Bacterial small subunit ribosomal RNA
Source: RNAcentral
UACGUAGGGAGCAAGCGUUGUCCGGAAUCAUUGGGCGUAAAGCGCGCGUAGGUGGCUCCAUAAGUCCGCUGUGAAAGUCAAAGGCUCAACCUUUGAAAGCCGGUGGAUACUGUGGGACUAGAGUACGGAAGAGGCGAGUGGAGUUCCUGGUGUAGCGGUGGAAUGCGCAGAUAUCAGGAGGAACACCAAUAGCGAAGGCAGCUCGCUGGGACGUUACUGACACUGAGGCGCGAAAGCGUGGGGAGCGAACAGG